AGUGCGUAAUAGCUCACUGGUCGAGUGAUCCUGCGCCGAAGAUUUCCGGGGCUAAAACUUACUACCGAAGCUACGGCAUCAGUAAUGAUGGGUAGGGGAGCUUCCCAUACGGGUUGAAGCAUGACCGUAAGGACAUGUGGACAGUAUGGGAGUGAGAAUGUUGGCAUGAGUAGCGAGAUGUGGGUGAGAAUCCCACAGGCCGUAAACCCAAGGUUUCCAGGGGAAGGUUCGUCCGCCCUGGGUUAGUCGGGACCUAAGCUGAGGCCGAAAGGCGUAGGUGAUGGACAACAGGUUGAUAUUCCUGUACUACCGAUAACCAUUUGAGAGAAGGGAUGACACAGUAGGAUAAGCUAAGCACACUGUUGGUUAUGUGUGCCCAAGCAUUGAGGCAGUCAAAGUAGGCAAAUCCGCUUUGAUAAUGCUGGGAUGGGAUGGGGAGCGAAAUUUAGUAGCGAAGUAGCUGAUUUCACACUGUCAAGAAAAGUCUCUAUCGAGGUUAAAGGUACCCGUACCGCAAACCGACACAGGUGGGUGAGGAGAGUAUCCUAAGGCCAGCGAGAGAACUGUUGUUAAGGAAC
Molecule: ribosomal RNA, 578 nt
Filed under: Clostridioides difficile
Lineage: Bacteria; Bacillati; Bacillota; Clostridia; Peptostreptococcales; Peptostreptococcaceae
Description: bacterial LSU rRNA
Rfam family: Bacterial large subunit ribosomal RNA
Source: RNAcentral